RNAcentral lists this ribosomal RNA (755 nucleotides) under uncultured archaeon. Its description in RNAcentral is "partial 16S ribosomal RNA". The stretch from base 482 to 755 matches the Rfam family "Archaeal small subunit ribosomal RNA", at positions 858 to 1109 of the family's 1478-position model. The record is from RNAcentral.
GUGGAAACCCUGUUGGUACAAUUCUUAAGCAUCUGGGGAUGCAUCGACGAGUCAAGAACUUGUCACUCGUCCCUGGAAGAUACUCGUACGCUCCGCCCCGUCACCUAGAUGCACAGUAUCUAAUUACACGCCUAGACUAGUUAAGCCAGUAAUCUUGCCAAUAGCCCUGAAUAAUCCAAGCUGCGGUCGCUUAGAUCCCGAUAAAAUGUGGUCCCCACUCAGGUAAGCCGGUAUUCACGCGGCGACUUGCACCGGUGUAACCCUGCCGGUUCUUCCGAUGGGGUAUACAUCCCACCACAACGGGUGUUUCCGUGCACUAGGGGUGCCGGGGGACACCAGUCUCCCUGCAGAUACCAGUGUAGUCGCAGGGGGCACCUAGUAGGGGGGGGGGGGGGGGGUGCUCCUACGCCUUAUCAAAAAAGAAGAAAGUCCACACCCGAAACGUGCUGCUUUUUGUUGUUUUUCGCACGGCUGCAACUUAAAUGAUAUUGGCGGGGGAGCACCACAACGGGUGGAGCCUGCGGUUUAAAAGGCAUAAAAAGCCGGGCAGCUCACCGGAUAGGACAGCGGAAUGAUAGCCGGGCUGAAGACCUUGCUUGACCAGCUGAGAGGAGGUGCAUGGCCGUCGUCAGUUCGUACUGUGAAGCAACCUGUUUAGUCAGGCAACGAGCGAGACCCAUAAUGUAACCCGGGCCCGGAAUGGACAGAGGUCACAACAUGCGAAUAUAAUAGUGAGUCUAUAGAGCUGGAGCACC